UUGUACAACAUGUAGCAAACUCAAUCAAUAGAAGCGUCCAAUACAAAAGGUAUAUCUUAAUGUGUGUUUCUCUUAUGCAUCAAGAUAUGAGAUUACUGAUACUAUACAGUGACUGGUUGAUGGAUCUCAUGAUGGUACUAUACUACCAACAGAUAUCAGUGAAGAGUUGAUGGAGAGAUGUCUUUAUACUGGUACAUGUACACCACCUGAUCUUGUCAUUAGAACAUGAGGAGAAGUGAGAUUAAGUGACUUCCUUAUAUGGCAGAGCUCUUAUUCUUGUCUCUGUUUUCAAGAUGUGUUGUGGCCAGAGUUUUCCGUUUGGAAUUUAUUCUCUUCGAUAUUAACAUACCAACAGAAUUACAAUAAUAUAAAGGUUUGUUAGUAAUUAAUUGAAUCCUAUAGCUGCAUGUGUAGUGUAUGUAUCAUCCACCCCUUUUUCCCCU
Long non-coding RNA from Amphimedon queenslandica, 443 nucleotides. RefSeq lists it as uncharacterized. The transcript has 4 exons. The record is from RefSeq and is a predicted model, not a curated record. NCBI's taxonomy places the organism in Eukaryota, Metazoa, Porifera, Demospongiae, Haplosclerida, Niphatidae.